This is a non-coding RNA of Otolemur garnettii (small-eared galago), 301 nucleotides long. NCBI's taxonomy places the organism in Eukaryota, Metazoa, Chordata, Mammalia, Primates, Galagidae. The record is from Rfam.
GCUGAAUGUGGUGGUGUGCGCCUGUGGCUCCAGCUACUCAGGAGGCUGAGACGGGAGGAUGGCUUGAGUCCAGGAGUUCUGGGCUGUAGGGCACUAUGCUGAUCGGGUGUCUGCACUAAGUUCAGCAUCAAUAUGGUGACUUCCCAGGAGUGAGGGGGCCACCAGUUUGCCUAAGGAAGUGUGAACCGACCCAGGUCAGAAAUGGAGCAGGUCAAAACUCCUGUGCUGAUCAGUAGUGGGAUUGUGCCUGUGAAUAACCACUGCACUGGAGCCUGGGCAACAUGGCGAGACCCCAUCUCUU